GGAUGUGAGGGCGAUCUAGCUGCCACACCUGUCACCCCACUGAUCACCAGGGUUGAUUUGGCUGAUCUGUCUGGAUAGGCGGGUGUCCUUUUCCUCCCUCACUGCUCCAAGUGCAUCCCUCUCAAAGCUUGGUCAAAGAGGACCACCUUCCCCCAGUAGAGACAGACAGGGUAUGCUAGUAGCUGCGCUCCCUGCUCGAACCUCCAAACAAGCUCUCAAAGCUUUGCUCUGUAUGCCACAUGCAAAUAAGUAGUUGAGCAGAGAGAGAGGGAGUCACUCAUUUCCACAUGAACAUCAAAACAAGAAUCUGUAAACCAGGGAGGAUUU
This 327-nucleotide small nuclear RNA is filed under the name Erinaceus europaeus (western European hedgehog). RNAcentral describes it as "7SK RNA". It matches the Rfam family "7SK RNA". Rfam says of the family: 7SK was discovered as an abundant small nuclear RNA in the mid-70s but a possible function has only recently been suggested. Two independent studies have found that 7SK RNA binds the CDK9/cyclin T complex (known as elongation factor P-TEFb). Lineage: Eukaryota; Metazoa; Chordata; Mammalia; Eulipotyphla; Erinaceidae. The record is from Rfam by way of RNAcentral.